Molecule: long non-coding RNA, 249 nt
Organism: Alosa sapidissima (American shad)
Lineage: Eukaryota; Metazoa; Chordata; Actinopteri; Clupeiformes; Clupeidae
Exons: 3
Source: RefSeq, a predicted model, not a curated record
CUUUAGCCACAGACCUUGAGCUACUGUACAGUGGGUUGGGUUCCAUUUAGAAGUGUCCACUUCAUUCGCCCUUUCCGUGAGUCACACAGCUACGUGAAACGUAUUACUACUGAUAUGCAAAACUAUUAACUUUUCGCCUAGAGGUGGCAGCUUGAUACUGUAAGCCAUUGUUUCCAAAGGAGAUUUUAUUUGGGUCGCCAGCAUAGCGUAGUGACAAUUUGUGUUGUGUAAUAGGCCUAGCAUUGGGCC